RNAcentral lists this ribosomal RNA (493 nucleotides) under uncultured bacterium. RNAcentral's name for it is "partial 16S ribosomal RNA". It matches the Rfam family "Bacterial small subunit ribosomal RNA", at positions 28 to 506 of the family's 1533-position model. The record is from RNAcentral.
GACGAACGCUGGCGGCGUGCUUAACACAUGCAAGUCGAACGGAAAGGCCUGCUUUCCCUUGUGGAUUGCGGGUACUCGAGUGGCGAACGGGUGAGUAACACGUGAGUGAUCUGCCCCCAACUUGGGUAUAAGCCUGGGAAACUGGGUCUAAUUCCCGAUAGGACUGCAGGGUGGUGCCUGUGGUGGAAAACGAUUUUCUAGUGGUUGGGGAUGAGCUCGCGGCCUAUCAGCUUGUUGGUGGGGUAAUGGCCUACCAAGGCGGCGACGGGUAGCCGGCCUGAGAGGGUGGACGGCCACAUUGGGACUGAGAUACGGCCCAGACUCCUACGGGAAGCAGCAGUGGGGAAUAUUGCACAAUGGGCGGAAGCCUGAUGCAGCGACGCCGCGUGGGGGAUGACGGCCUUCGGGUUGUAAACUCCUUUCGACCGCGAGGAAGCCACCUGGUUGGAAGGGUGGUGACGGUAGUGGUAGAAGAAGCACCGGCUAACUACGU